UACGGAGGGUGCAAGCGUUAUCCGGAAUCACUGGGUUUAAAGGGUGCGUAGGCGGUUCGAUAAGUCAGAGGUGAAAGCUAGCAGCUUAACUGUUAAAUUGCCUUUGAUACUGUCGGACUUGAAUCAGGUUGAGGUAGGCGGAAUGUGACAUGUAGCGGUGAAAUGCAUAGAUAUGUCAUAGAACACCAAUUGCGUAGGCAGCUUGCUGGGCCUGUAUUGACGCUGAGGCACGAAAGCGUGGGGAUCAAACAGGAUUAGAUACCCUGGUAGUCCACGCCCUAAACGAUGUUAACUCGAUAUUUAUUCUUCGGAGUGAGUGUCCAAGCGAAAGCGUUAAGUUAACCACCUGGGGAGUACGUUCGCAAGAAUGAA
RNAcentral lists this ribosomal RNA (372 nucleotides) under uncultured bacterium. Its description in RNAcentral is "bacterial SSU rRNA". It matches the Rfam family "Bacterial small subunit ribosomal RNA", at positions 524 to 898 of the family's 1533-position model. The record is from RNAcentral.